GAAGUUUAAAAAGGUACGGCGUAAGCUGUCGCUAAAGGGAUGGACCUGCGAUGCAUUAGCUAGUUGGUAAGGUAACGGCUACCAAGGCGAUGAUGCAUAGCCGAGUUGAGAGACUGAUCGGCCACAUUGGGACUGAGACACGGCCCAAACUCCUACGGGAGGCAGCAGUAGGGAAUCUUCCACAAUGGACGCAAGUCUGAUGGAGCAACGCCGCGUGAGUGAAGAAGGGUUUCGGCUCGUAAAGCUCUGUUGUUGGUGAAGAAGGAUAGAGGUAGUAACUGGCCUUUAUUUGACGGUAAUCAACCAGAAAGUCACGGCUAACUACGUGCCAGCAGCCGCGGUAAU
Molecule: ribosomal RNA, 345 nt
Filed under: uncultured Lactobacillus sp.
Lineage: Bacteria; Bacillati; Bacillota; Bacilli; Lactobacillales; Lactobacillaceae
Description: bacterial SSU rRNA
Rfam family: Bacterial small subunit ribosomal RNA
Source: RNAcentral